Molecule: ribosomal RNA, 625 nt
Filed under: uncultured Russulaceae
Lineage: Eukaryota; Fungi; Basidiomycota; Agaricomycetes; Russulales; Russulaceae
Description: LSU rRNA
Rfam family: Eukaryotic large subunit ribosomal RNA
Source: RNAcentral
AAGCGGAGGAAAGAAACUAACAAGGAUUCCCCUAGUAACUGCGAGUGAAGCGGGAAAAGCUCAAAUUUAAAAUCUGGUGGUCUUUGGCCAUCCGAGUUGUAAUUUAGAGAAGCGUCUUCCGCGCUGGACCGUGCACAAGUCUCCUGGAAUGGAGCGUCAUAGAGGGUGAGAAUCCCGUCUUUGGCACGGAUGUACCAGGGCUUUUGUGAUGCGCUCUCGAAGAGUCGAGUUGUUUGGGAAUGCAGCUCAAAAUGGGUGGUGAACUCCAUCUAAAGCUAAAUAUUGGCGAGAGACCGAUAGCGAACAAGUACCGUGAGGGAAAGAUGAAAAGCACUUUGGAAAGAGAGUGAAACAGUACGUGAAAUUGUUGAAAGGGAAACGCUUGAAGUCAGUCGCGUCGACCGAGACUCAGCCUUGCCUCGGCUUGGUGUACUUCUCGGCUGACGGGUCAGCAUCAAUUUUGCCCCUUGGAUAAUGGCGAGGGAAAUGUGACACCUUUACGGUGUGUUAUAGUCUUUCGUCGCAUGCAAGGGUUGGGAUUGAGGAACUCAGCACGCGCCCUCGGGCGUCGGGGCUUUGCCCACGAUACGUGCUUAGGAUGUUGGCGUAAUGGCUUUAAACGACC